UCACAGGCCUGUGGGUUGAUUAGGGUGGC
Molecule: non-coding RNA, 29 nt
Filed under: Homo sapiens (human)
Lineage: Eukaryota; Metazoa; Chordata; Mammalia; Primates; Hominidae
Source: RNAcentral